AUUGAACGCUGGCGGCAGGCCUAACACAUGCAAGUCGAGCGGCAGCGCGGGGGCAACCCUGGCGGCGAGCGGCGAACGGGUGAGUAAUACAUGGGAAUCUGCCUGGUAGUGGGGGAUAACUCUGGGAAACUAGAGGUAAUACCGCAUACGUCCUACGGGAGAAAGGGGGGGAUCUUCGGACCUCUCGCUAUCAGAGGAGCCCAUGUCCGAUUAGCUAGUUGGUGAGGUAAAGGCUCACCAAGGCGACGAUCGGUAACUGGUCUGAGAGGAUGGUCAGUCACACUGGAACUGAGACACGGUCCAGACUCCUACGGGAGGCAGCAGUGGGGAAUAUUGGACAAUGGGGGCAACCCUGAUCCAGCCAUGCCGCGUGUGUGAAGAAGGCCUCGGUUGUAAGCACUUAAGUGGGGUAGGGAAGGCGUCGUACGUG
This 430-nucleotide ribosomal RNA is filed under the name uncultured bacterium. RNAcentral's name for it is "bacterial SSU rRNA". It matches the Rfam family "Bacterial small subunit ribosomal RNA", at positions 29 to 469 of the family's 1533-position model. The record is from RNAcentral.